RNAcentral lists this long non-coding RNA (823 nucleotides) under Homo sapiens (human). Its description in RNAcentral is "HSALNT0373685". The record is from RNAcentral. Lineage: Eukaryota; Metazoa; Chordata; Mammalia; Primates; Hominidae.
AUCAGGGCUUUUUUUUUUUUUCCAGACAGCCAAUUUACCAGCACACCACUGUCAGCUUCCUGAGACCUCACCAGAAGCUGAGCAGAUGCUAGUACCAUGCUUCUUGUACAGCCUACAGAACUGUGCUGUUACUGUUGGCCCAAGAACACAUUUUGAGAAGACUGGCCUAGAGGAACCAAUAAUGUGGGUUUCUUAUGGGCAGGAUGGCACUGGAGAAGAGGGUGAGGCUCAGUGUCUUCUCCCAAAUUUUCAUAUCAAAUAAAACCUCUUUCCCCGGAGAGAAGUAACAAGAGAGGCAGAGGGAAAUGAUUCUAACAGAAGUUCUAGCCACAUGGAAGGAAGCAUUAGCAGUGAGGAAUAACUGUUCUCUCCCUAAACAUACCACCCAAGGGAAACUAACACUAAAUUAGCAUGAAGAGCAUACGCCUGUGAUCUCAGCUAUUCGGGAUGCAGAGGCAGGAGGAUCACAUGAGCUCAGAAGCUCAAGCCCAGCCUGGGCAACGUAGAAAGACACAGACUAAAAAAGAAAAAAAGGGAAGAAAAAAAAAGACGGAAAAAAAUUAGCAUGAACAAUUCAAGGGAGACAAGAGAACUGAGCCACCUUCCUAGCCAAGAAAAACCCCAGCUUGCAAUUUACUGAAUAGAAGUGUGCCACUUGACAGAGUAGUUUUAAUGACACUGAACCUUUUGUGAGUCUUGCACUUCUCUUGGCUGAAAUCUUCAAACUGGCUCAAAGAAGCUCCAGUCUCUUCAUUCUGCAGAACAGGCAGGUGGGAUUGGUGAAAACGAAGAAGCCAGGAGUGGGAGAGCCAUGCCGCUUUUU